AUCUUGGCGGGUGUGGUUUGGCUGAAUAAUAUUUCAUUAUCCUGUAUACAUCUUCCAUAGCAGAUGUGCUUUUAUGCGUAUUCGGAUGGUCAUUUGGGGACGCCCCACCUUCCACGGUUCUGAAUGAUGCUGCUAGGUACCAAUGAUCAAGUAAGUCCCUGCUUCCAUUCCUUCAGGUGCUUAUUUAAAAGUUAAGACAUGCUGGACCACAAGGUGCUGUGUGUUUAAGGUUCCUCAAAGCCAUGGUCGGCCCGUUUUGAUGCAUGAAUAGGUUAGAAUUGACAUUCGGGCUUGGCAGUGGUGGUGACCUCACAGCAGAGAGGCGUUCUCUUCUUGGGACCUCCUGGUGUCACUAAAGGAAAAGAAACCAUGGUAAAUAUAACUAGAAUAGUUAAAAGUUCAAUGUGUUACCUACAGUACAGUGCAAGAUAUU
RNAcentral lists this long non-coding RNA (433 nucleotides) under Cricetulus griseus (Chinese hamster). RNAcentral describes it as "lncRNA (ENSCGRG00000025774.1)". The record is from RNAcentral. Lineage: Eukaryota; Metazoa; Chordata; Mammalia; Rodentia; Cricetidae.